AUUGAACGCUGGCGGCAUGCUUUACACAUGCAAGUCGAACGGUAACAGGCCUUCGGGUGCUGACGAGUGGCGAACGGGUGAGUAAUGCAUCGGAACGUACCCAGAGGUGGGGGAUAACGCAGCGAAAGCUGUGCUAAUACCGCAUGUGAUCUGAGGAUGAAAGCGGGGGACCGCGCAGCAAUGUUUGGCCUCGCGCCUUUGGAGCGGCCAAUGUCGGAUUAGCUAGUUGGGGGGGUAAAGGCCUACCAAGGCGACGAUCCGUAGCUGGUCCGAGAGGACGACCAGCCACACUGGGACUGAGACACGGCCCAGACUCCUACGGGAGGCAGCAGUGGGGAAUUUUGGAGAAUGGGGGAAAGCCUGAUCCAGCAAUGCCGCGUGCGGGAAGAAGGCCUUCGGGUUGGAAACCGCUUUUGGCAGGAACGAAACGGUGUCCGCUAAUACCGGGCGCUAAUGACGGUACCUGCAGAAUAAGCACCGGCUAACUACGUG
This 492-nucleotide ribosomal RNA is filed under the name uncultured bacterium. RNAcentral's name for it is "partial 16S ribosomal RNA". It matches the Rfam family "Bacterial small subunit ribosomal RNA", at positions 29 to 507 of the family's 1533-position model. The record is from RNAcentral.